Molecule: ribosomal RNA, 1356 nt
Filed under: uncultured marine eukaryote
Lineage: Eukaryota
Description: SSU rRNA
Rfam family: Eukaryotic small subunit ribosomal RNA
Source: RNAcentral
CACUUCUAAGGAAGGCAGCAGGCGCGCAAAUUACCCAAUCCUGACUCAGGGAGGUAGUGACAAGAAAUAACAAUAAACCGGCUUAUGCCGGUUUAAUUGGAAUGAGUACAAUUUAAACAUCUUAACGAGGAACAAUUGGAGGGCAAGUCUGGUGCCAGCAGCCGCGGUAAUUCCAGCUCCAAUAGCGUAUACUAAAGUUGUUGCAGUUAAAAAGCUCGUAGUUGGAUUUCUGUGGGGACGGAGCGGCCGGCCGCAACACGCGGUUCGAGCUAGCGCUUUCCCUACAUCCUGCCGCGAACCGUGCUACCAUUAGUUUGGUGGCGCCGGGGAUCGGCUCGAGUACUUUGAGAAAAAUAGAGUGUUCAAAGCAGGCCACAUGCCUUGAAUAAGUUAGCAUGGAAUAAUAACUAAGGACUUCGGUUCUAUUUUGUUGGUGUUCGGGACUGAAGUAAUGAUUGAUAGGGACAGUUGGGGCGGUCUGUAUUCCAAAGCGAGAGGUGAAAUUCUUAGACCUUCGGAAGACAAACAGCUGCGAAAGCGUUCCGCAAGGAUGUUCCCUUUGAUCAAGAACGAAAGUUGGGGGAUCGAAGACGAUCAGAUACCGUCGUAGUCUCAACUAUAAACUAUACCAGCUAGGGAUCGGCCAACGUUAUUUCAUACCGACUUGGUCGGCACCUUAUGAGAAAUCAAAGCAUCUGGGUUCCGGGGGGAGUAUGGUCGCAAGGCUGAAACUUAAAGGAAUUGACGGAAGGGCACCACCAGCCGUGGAGCCUGUGGCUUAAUUUGACUCAACACGGGAAAACUUACCAGGUCCAGACAUAGUAAGGAUUGACAGAUUGAUGGCUCUUUCUUGAUUCUGUGGGUGGUGGUGCAUGGCCGUUCUUAGUUGGUGGAGUGAUUUGUCUGGUUAAUUCCGUUAACGAACGAGACCCCAGCCUGCUAAAUAGCGCGCGUGAGCUUUGCUCGCGGCGAGCUUCUUAGAGGGACUCUGAUGCGCGAUAGCACAUGGAAGUUUGGGGCAAUAACAGGUCUGUGAUGCCCUUAGAUGUUCUGGGCCGCACACGGGCUACACUGGCGCCUGCAACGAGCAUAUCAGCUGGCCCGAGAGGGUCUUGGCUAAUCUUUUGAACCGGCGCCGUGCUUGGGAUUGACCUUUGCAAUUGUUGGUCAUGCAACGAGGAAUGCCUUGUAAACGCGAGUCAUCAGCUCGCAUUGAAUACGUCCCUGCCCUUUGUACACACCGCCCGUCGCUCCUACCGAUGAAUGUUCCGAUGAAAUUUUCGGAGAGCACCUGUGAACUUGGCUCUGCCUUGCGAACGGGAGGCUCAAAGUCACUUAAAUUUGAACAUUUCGAGG